Molecule: ribosomal RNA, 226 nt
Filed under: uncultured bacterium
Lineage: Bacteria
Description: partial 16S ribosomal RNA
Rfam family: Bacterial small subunit ribosomal RNA
Source: RNAcentral
GAUCAUGGCUCAGAUUGAACGCUGGCGGCAUGCUUUACACAUGCAAGUCGGACGGCAGCACAGAGAAGCUUGCUUCUUGGGUGGCGAGUGGCGAACGGGUGAGUAACAUAUCGGAACGUACCGAGCAGUGGGGGGAUAACUAAUCGAAAGAUUAGCUAAUACCGCAUAUUUUCUGAGGAAGAAAGCAGGGGACCAUUUGGCCUUGCGCUGUUUGAGCGGCCGAUAU